CUUUUCCCUCAUUCCUCCAUCAGUGUGAUUGCACUUUUUCCAGGAAUAGAAAGGGUCUGCCACAGUCCGUCAAGGAGAAGGGUUCAGGCUUGAGCUAACGGUGUCCCAUCAUCCCAGUGAAGAUCUCUGUUCAUUCCAAACACAUUUCCUGUCUUCCCUGGGAUGCCACUGGGACAAAAGGAAUUUUUGGAUGUACUGUAUAGGCUGAAUGUCACACCAUCUGCCAUGGCAUGUUGCUGUGCUGGAGCCUACGACGGGGAAUGCUUUAUCAGUGCUGCUCUUGGCAUGGACUGUGGCCUGGCCUGGCUUGGCUGCACUGGCCCCUCAGCAGGCACACACACAUUAAAAAAAAACUUGCAUGUGAGCAUAUGAGUUGA
This is a long non-coding RNA of Chelmon rostratus (copperband butterflyfish), 377 nucleotides long. RefSeq lists it as uncharacterized. The record is from RefSeq and is a predicted model, not a curated record. NCBI's taxonomy places the organism in Eukaryota, Metazoa, Chordata, Actinopteri, Chaetodontiformes, Chaetodontidae. The transcript is spliced from 3 exons.